This is a long non-coding RNA of Oncorhynchus tshawytscha (Chinook salmon), 1121 nucleotides long. NCBI's taxonomy places the organism in Eukaryota, Metazoa, Chordata, Actinopteri, Salmoniformes, Salmonidae. The record is from Ensembl.
CUUUGUUGUUGCUCUUCGUUAAGACAAGGUCAUGACUUUCAGAAUGAAUGACUAGAGUUCAUAUUUCUCUCUUUAUUUCUCUGUCUGUCUCUCUGUCUCUCUGUCUCUCUCUCUCCCUCUCUCUCUUUAUUUCUUUGCCUCUCUAUCUCACCCUGUUACCUCCUCUCUCGCUCUCUCUAACUGUGCAAAUGAAGCUGCUACUUUAUCCCUUAGAGUGUGUGUGUGUACGCGCUUGUGCUUGUUUGGGUGUGUGUACGUGCUUGUGCUUGUUUGGGUGUGUGUACGCGCUUGUGCUUGUUUGGGUGUGUAUACGCGCUUGUGCUUGUUUGGGUGUGUGUACGCGCUUGUGCUUUUUGGGUGUGUGUGUGUGUGUGUGUGUGUGUGUGUGUGUGUGUGUGUGUGUGUGUGUGUGUGUGUGUGUCCUGCAGCAUGUCAUUGUUCCCAGCUGAGCCCUUAUCAAACACAGAUCCUGUGACCAGACACACACAAAAACACACACGGACUCACUCCUCUCUUGUAACCAACUUACUGUUUGCCUAGUACAGAAGUGGGAUCUUAAUUUGAGCCAGUUUGCUUCAGCAGGAAAAUUAACCUGCAGCAAUAGGAAAUGUGUAAUAUUAGGUGGAUUAUAAUUAAUGGACUUUUUUUGUAGGGUUUGAUACAUUUUUCAUUAGGGGAAAUCAAGUCAGACAUUUAAAGUGGAACUGGAACCUUGAAUACACUGGGUGUUUGCAUUUCCUGCUAUGCAGGUCAAUUCUCAGCAACAAAAGCCUGAUCAAAUUAAGAUCCUACAUCUGUAUCGUGUACAGGGUGCAGCGGUAGAGCCUAAUGAAUAGUGACAGAUGGAGCUGGGAUACCGGGACAGACCUAUCUGUCGCUGGGGGAGUGUGUGUAUGUGUGUGUGUGUUUGGUUUUACUACCCUUGUGGGGACCAGAAGUCCUGACAAAGUUAGCUAAACAAGGGGGUGAAAGUGGGGGCAUUUUACCGUUCCCCACAAUAAAAAAGGCUAUUUUCUGCUUCGAUAUAUUCACUCCCAAAUCUGAUAAGAAAUGGAAUGUCAUCAUGUUUUGGUCGUGGAGAAAAAGCAGCUGUUUUUAUCUGUAGCUGGAAUCACUAGUUA